AUGACACGAUGCCGACGCCGCGGCUCGCCGCCGGCGCCUCCGCCGCCGCUCGAGGACGACGAUCUCCUCCGCGAGAUCCUGCUCCGCAUCCCGCCGCAGCCGUCCUCCCUCCCCCGCGCCUCCGCCGUCUGCAAGCGGUGGCGCUGCGCCGCCGUCGACCCCAAGUUCACCGCCCGCUUCCGCGCCCACCACGGGAAGCCGCCCCUCCUCGGCUUCUUCCAGCGCCGCGACGACGGCAUCGUGUUCGCCCCCGUCCUGGCCGCUCCCGACUGCGUCCCUCCCGAGCGCCUCGACCUCCGAAUCCGCGUCGCCGAUUCUGAGUCUGAGGCCCACCUCCUCGGGUGCCGCCACGGCCGCGUCCUCGUAUUCGACGUGGCGCGGGCGGAGGUCGUCGUGUGCGAUCCCAUCACGGGCGAGCAGCGCCGCGUGGCCGUCCCGCCGGAGUUCAAGACGGGCCAGGUCAACGGGGCGGUGCUCUGCGCCGACCGCGGCCAGGGACACGUGCACGGCGGCUGCCGCUCCAGCCCGUUCAAAGUGGUCUUGGUGUUCAUGCGCAGCCAUGAUCAUCGGCCCCUCGCCUGCGUCUACUCCUCCGAGACCGACACAUGGGGCCAUCUCAUCCCGACAGAGGCUCCACACCCAGGUUCGGCUUGUUGCGGUGGUGCUCAGAGCAUCCUCAUUGGCAAUGUUCUUUACUGGCCGCUAAAGCAUGCGAAGUACGGCAUACUUCAGUUUGAUUUGGAUAGGCAGAGUCUUGAUGUGAUCGAGACGCCUCUUGGUAUGAAUGUUCCCCGCAACCAUGAUAUCGUCCAGGCAGAGGAUGGCACUCUUGGUCUCACCAUAUUGUCUCACCAUUACCAUAACAUUCAAAUGUGGCAGCGAAAGGUCAAUUGUCAAGGUGUUGCCACAUGGGUGCUGUGGAAGACCACCGAAAUGCAUGACAUUCUUGGGCUCUCUCCUCCGACUGAGGUAGUGAAAAGGGGGGUGGAACUGAUACUGGGAUACGACCAGGAUGCUAAUGAAAUGCUAUUGUAUCUGGGCGGCACUGUCUAUAUUGUUCAACUGAAGUCGAUGCAAUCAAGAAAACUUUGGGAAAGCCAACAUGUUACCGCUUGUCAUUCCUUCAACAGUUUCUACACGCCAGGUGAAUGA
RNAcentral lists this ribosomal RNA (1152 nucleotides) under Triticum aestivum (bread wheat). RNAcentral describes it as "partial small subunit ribosomal RNA". Lineage: Eukaryota; Viridiplantae; Streptophyta; Magnoliopsida; Poales; Poaceae. The record is from RNAcentral.